Molecule: ribosomal RNA, 790 nt
Filed under: uncultured Acidobacteriota bacterium
Lineage: Bacteria; Pseudomonadati; Acidobacteriota
Description: bacterial SSU rRNA
Rfam family: Bacterial small subunit ribosomal RNA
Source: RNAcentral
AGAGUUUGAUCAUGGCUCAGGAUCAACGCUGGCGGCGUGCCUAACACAUGCAAGUCGAGCGAGAAAGGGUAGCAAUACCUGAGUACAGCGGCGCACGGGUGAGUAACACGUGGGUAAUCUGCCCUAGAGUGGGGAAUAACACCGGGAAACCGGUGCUAAUACCGCAUACGAUUACGGGGUCUGCGGACUUUGUAAUUAAAGGAGCAAUUCGCUUUAGGAGGAGCCCGCGGCUGAUUAGCUAGUUGGUGAGGUAAUGGCUCACCAAGGCAACGAUCAGUAUCCGGUCUGAGAGGACGGUCGGACACACUGGAACUGAGACACGGUCCAGACUCCUACGGGAGGCAGCAGUGGGGAAUUUUUGGCAAUGGGGCAACCCUGACCAAGCAACGCCGCGUGGGUGAUGAAGUCUCUUGGGACGUAAAACCCUUUCGACGGGGAAGAAACCGCAAGGUUGACGGUACCCGUAGAAGAAGCCCCGGCUAACUCCGUACCAGCAGCCGCGGUAAUACGGGGGGGGCAAGCGUUGUUCGGAAUUACUGGGCGUAAAGGGCGCGUAGGCGGUUUGUUAAGUUGGAUGUGAAAACUCUGGGCUCAACCCAGAGCCUGCAUCCAAAACUAGCAAGCUAGAGUUCUGGAGGGGAUAGCGGAAUUCCUGGUGUAGCGGUGAAAUGCGUAGAUAUCAGGAGGAACACCGGUGGCGAAGGCGGCUAUCUGGACAGAGUCUGACGCUGAGGCGCGAAAGCUAGGGGAGCAAACAGGAUUAGAUACCCUGGUAGUCCUAGCCCUAAAC